CAGAAAAUAGUUUAAAAAAAUUUUAGUUUUGGGGACUGAAGAUAAGAGUUUGUUCUUUUUUCUGA
Molecule: transfer RNA, 65 nt
Filed under: Caridina longshan
Lineage: Eukaryota; Metazoa; Arthropoda; Malacostraca; Decapoda; Atyidae
Description: tRNA-Pro
Rfam family: tRNA
About the family: Transfer RNA (tRNA) molecules are approximately 80 nucleotides in length. Their secondary structure includes four short double-helical elements and three loops (D, anti-codon, and T loops). Further hydrogen bonds mediate the characteristic L-shaped molecular structure. tRNAs have two regions of fundamental functional importance: the anti-codon, which is responsible for specific mRNA codon recognition, and the 3' end, to which the tRNAs corresponding amino acid is attached (by aminoacyl-tRNA synthetases). tRNAs cope with the degeneracy of the genetic code in two manners: having more than one tRNA (with a specific anti-codon) for a particular amino acid; and 'wobble' base-pairing, i.e. permitting non-standard base-pairing at the 3rd anti-codon position.
Source: RNAcentral